GACAGAGGGUGCAAGCGUUGUUCGGAAUCAUUGGGCGUAAAGCGCGCGUAGGCGGCUUUGCAAGUCGGAUGUGAAAGCCCCGGGCUCAACCCGGGAAGUGCAUCCGAAACUGCAUGGCUUGAGUCCCAGAGAGGGUGGUGGAAUUCCGAGUGUAGAGGUGAAAUUCGUAGAUAUUCGGAGGAACACCAGUGGCGAAGGCGACCACCUGGAUGGAGACUGACGCUGAGGUGCGAAAGCGUGGGGAGCAAACAGG
This 253-nucleotide ribosomal RNA is filed under the name uncultured bacterium. Its description in RNAcentral is "partial 16S ribosomal RNA". It matches the Rfam family "Bacterial small subunit ribosomal RNA", at positions 524 to 776 of the family's 1533-position model. The record is from RNAcentral.